Molecule: ribosomal RNA, 440 nt
Filed under: uncultured bacterium
Lineage: Bacteria
Description: partial 16S ribosomal RNA
Rfam family: Bacterial small subunit ribosomal RNA
Source: RNAcentral
CCUACGGGGGGCAGCAGUGGGGGAUAUUGCACAAUGGGGGGAACCCUGAUGCAGCGACGCCGCGUGGGUGAAGAAGCGCCUCGGCGCGUAAAGCUCUGUCAGCAGGGAAGAAAAUGACGGUACCUGACGAAGAAGCCCCGGCUAACUACGUGCCAGCAGCCGCGGUAAUACGUAGGGGGCAAGCGUUAUCCGGAUUUACUGGGUGUAAAGGGGGCGCAGACGGCGAUGCAAGCCAGGAGUGAAAGCCCGGGGCCCAACCCCGGGACUGCUCUUGGAACUGCGUGGCUGGAGUGCAGGAGGGGCAAGCGGAAUUCCUGGUGUAGCGGUGAAAUGCGUAGAUAUCAGGAGGAACACCGGUGGCGAAGGCGGCCUGCUGGACUGCAACUGACGUUGAGGCCCGAAGGCGUGGGGAGCAAACAGGAUUAGAUACCCGGGUAGUC